RNAcentral lists this ribosomal RNA (626 nucleotides) under Limosilactobacillus fermentum. Its description in RNAcentral is "bacterial SSU rRNA". It matches the Rfam family "Bacterial small subunit ribosomal RNA", at positions 378 to 995 of the family's 1533-position model. Lineage: Bacteria; Bacillati; Bacillota; Bacilli; Lactobacillales; Lactobacillaceae. The record is from RNAcentral.
CAAGCCUGAUGGAGCAACACCGCGUGAGUGAAGAAGGGUUUCGGCUCGUAAAGCUCUGUUGUUAGAGAAGAACACGUAUGAGAGUAACUGUUCAUACGUUGACGGUAUUUAACCAGAAAGUCACGGCUAACUACGUGCCAGCAGCCGCGGUAAUACGUAGGUGGCAAGCGUUAUCCGGAUUUAUUGGGCGUAAAGAGAGUGCAGGCGGUUUUCUAAGUCUGAUGUGAAAGCCUUCGGCUUAACCGGAGAAGUGCAUCGGAAACUGGAUAACUUGAGUGCAGAAGAGGGUAGUGGAACUCCAUGUGUAGCGGUGGAAUGCGUAGAUAUAUGGAAGAACACCAGUGGCGAAGGCGGCUACCUGGUCUGCAACUGACGCUGAGACUCGAAAGCAUGGGUAGCGAACAGGAUUAGAUACCCUGGUAGUCCAUGCCGUAAACGAUGAGUGCUAGGUGUUGGAGGGUUUCCGCCCUUCAGUGCCGGAGCUAACGCAUUAAGCACUCCGCCUGGGGAGUACGACCGCAAGGUUGAAACUCAAAGGAAUUGACGGGGGCCCGCACAAGCGGUGGAGCAUGUGGUUUAAUUCGAAGCUACGCGAAGAACCUUACCAGGUCUUGACAUCUUGCGCC